RNAcentral lists this non-coding RNA (18 nucleotides) under Arabidopsis thaliana (thale cress). Lineage: Eukaryota; Viridiplantae; Streptophyta; Magnoliopsida; Brassicales; Brassicaceae. The record is from RNAcentral.
CACACACCCAUAUCGUUC